This 44-nucleotide non-coding RNA is filed under the name Schistosoma mattheei. Lineage: Eukaryota; Metazoa; Platyhelminthes; Trematoda; Strigeidida; Schistosomatidae. The record is from RNAcentral.
CUCCAAUUGACGAGUUCCAAAUAGGACGAAAUGUCAUCCUGGAU